GGCCAGACUCCUACGGGGGCAGCAGUGGGGAAUAUUGGACAAUGGGGGGAACCCUGAUCCAGCGACGCCGCGUGAGUGAAGAAGUAUUUCGGUAUGUAAAGCUCUAUCAGCAGGGAAGAAAAUGACGGUACCUGAGUAAGAAGCCCCGGCUAACUACGUGCCUGCAGCCGCGGUAAUACGUAGGGGGCAAGCGUUAUCCGGAUUUACUGGGUGUAAAGGGAGCGUAGACGGCGAUGCAAGUCUGAAGUGAAAGCCCGGGGCUCAACCCCGGGACUGCUUUGGAAACUGUAUGGCUGGAGUGCUGGAGAGGUAAGUGGAAUUCCUAGUGUAGCGGUGAAAUGCGUAGAUAUUAGGAGGAACACCAGUGGCGAAGGCGGCUUACUGGACUGUAACUGACGUUGAGGCCCGAAAGCGUGGGGAGCAAACAGGAUUAGAUACCCGUGUAA
Molecule: ribosomal RNA, 446 nt
Filed under: uncultured bacterium
Lineage: Bacteria
Description: bacterial SSU rRNA
Rfam family: Bacterial small subunit ribosomal RNA
Source: RNAcentral